UGGGGAAUAUUGCACAAUGGGCGCAAGCCUGAUGCAGCCAUGCCGCGUGUAUGAAGAAGGCCUUCGGGUUGUAAAGUACUUUCAGCGAGGAGGAAGGCGAUGCGGUUAAUAACCGUGUCGAUUGACGUUACUCGCAGAAGAAGCACCGGCUAACUCCGUGCCAGCAGCCGCGGUAAUACGGAGGGUGCAAGCGUUAAUCGGAAUUACUGGGCGUAAAGCGCACGCAGGCGGUCUGUCAAGUCGGAUGUGAAAUCCCCGGGCUCAACCUGGGAACUGCAUCCGAAACUGGCAGGCUUGAGUCUUGUAGAGGGGGGUAGAAUUCCAGGUGUAGCGGUGAAAUGCGUAGAGAUCUGGAGGAAUACCGGUGGCGAAGGCGGCCCCCUGGACAAAGACUGACGCUCAGGUGCGAAAGCGUGGGGAGCAAACA
Molecule: ribosomal RNA, 427 nt
Filed under: uncultured bacterium
Lineage: Bacteria
Description: partial 16S ribosomal RNA
Rfam family: Bacterial small subunit ribosomal RNA
Source: RNAcentral